GGGGAAUAUUGCACAAUGGGGGAAACCCUGAUGCAGCGACGCCGCGUGAGUGAAGAAGUAUUUCGGUAUGUAAAGCUCUAUCAGUAGGGAAGAAAGAAAUGACGGUACCUAACUAAGAAGCCCCGGCUAACUACGUGCCAGCAGCCGCGGUAAUACGUAGGGGGCAAGCGUUAUCCGGAUUUACUGGGUGUAAAGGGAGUGUAGGUGGCAAGGUAAGUCAGAUGUGAAAACCCAGGGCUCAACCCUGGGACUGCAUUUGAAACUAUCUAGCUAGAGUGCAGGAGAGGUAAGUGGAAUUCCUAGUGUAGCGGUGAAAUGCGUAGAUAUUAGGAGGAACACCAGUGGCGAAGGCGGCUUACUGGACUGUAACUGACACUGAGGCUCGAAAGCGUGGGGAGCAAAC
Molecule: ribosomal RNA, 403 nt
Filed under: uncultured bacterium
Lineage: Bacteria
Description: bacterial SSU rRNA
Rfam family: Bacterial small subunit ribosomal RNA
Source: RNAcentral